GGAGAAGAAGAAAAGGAGUAGGAAACAUCAAGGUUUUGGUAAGAAAUUUAGUAUUUACUCCUAAACAUUCUAGGGAACAUUUCUACAUUAAAAUUAACAAAGUUUAAAUUAAUGUUUGCAUGAUUAAAUCAUAUGCUUAAAAGAAAUAAUUUUACGUGAUUAACGCAUGUUUUAUGAAUGUACAUGAACUGAUUAUUUGCAUGUGAUUUAAACGAUCUAAUGCUUGAGAUAAAUAUUAAUAUGUGAUGCAAUUGAUGAUGAAAAAUAAUUAAGCAUGCAAUGAUUUAUAGAUAUGAGAAAUAUGUAUUGGUAUUGGAAAACGUAAUCUAUUUCGUUAGGCUUUUCAUCUAUGAGGGGUUUCUGUUUCUCUUCCACCUAGUUCGAAAAGACGUGAGAAGGCCACUCCCUGUGGAUGAUGGCAUAUCCUCUGACAAGAGUGGUGCUGCGAUAUGAUUAUAGGGGUCACCUUUGGGGAAGAAUGACCAUGGCUAUAGUUAACAUGUAGGACUACUACUGUUGGCACAACUAUGGUCAUAGAUCGUGUCAUGGUUUGGCAAGCCGUAAAUAUGUUGUUGGGUUAGCAAAUAGUAAAUUACUGUUAUAAAUAAAAUAAAUAGGUCAUUCCACAUGGGUAGACGAAAAUCCAUAUUACUCUCAGUAGAUGAAAGUUAGAACGACUCGGCGUAAAGACUAAAAAUAAAAGACAGUGCAUAUCAUGAUUUGUUUGAUUUUUUAUAUUUUUCAGCAUGACUGAUUUGAUAUGAUGGUUACGAUGUUUUUUUUAAUAAAUUAAAUUAUCUUCAUAAUUAAUAAAGGACUAUGUCAUGACUCUUGAUAGUAAGUGACAAUAGUACAUUUAAUCACUUUUAAAAUCUUAUGAUGUUAUUUAAAUAUUAUUUUUCUUAUUGAGUAUAUGGAGCUCACCCCUUUCCAUGCCUCCAUCCAGAUGAGGAAGAUAGUGAGAAAAUGAUCGCUGACCGACUCUUAGAAAUCUUUGAGGAUCCCGUGGAUCCAAAAACUUUUAUGAGUGCAUGAUUGUCCCGCACUUUGAUGAGUCCAUUUACAUAAUAAUAGAAGUGACAUUCUUUUGUAUUUUGUUAUUUUAUAUUUUGUUGCCAUUUCUAGCCUCAAAUAUGUAAGGAAUUUGUAAGUAUUUGUUUUACUACAUACAUUUAUUUAUUAUGCACUUGUACUCUAUUUUUGUAUCUGGCACCCU
RNAcentral lists this long non-coding RNA (1216 nucleotides) under Carica papaya (papaya). Its description in RNAcentral is "long non-coding RNA (CPAP_LNC001293)". The record is from RNAcentral. Lineage: Eukaryota; Viridiplantae; Streptophyta; Magnoliopsida; Brassicales; Caricaceae.